This 478-nucleotide ribosomal RNA is filed under the name uncultured bacterium. Its description in RNAcentral is "bacterial SSU rRNA". It matches the Rfam family "Bacterial small subunit ribosomal RNA", at positions 29 to 507 of the family's 1533-position model. The record is from RNAcentral.
AUGAACGCUAGCGGCAGGCUUAACACAUGCAAGUCGAGGGUAGAAGGAGCUUGCUCCUUUGAGACCGGCGCACGGGUGCGUAACGCGUAUGCAAUCUACCUUUUGCAGAGGGAUAGCCCAGAGAAAUUUGGAUUAAUACCUCAUAGUAUGUGAGGAUGGCAUCAUUUUCACAUUAAAGUCACAACGGCAAAAGAUGAGCAUGCGUCCCAUUAGCUAGUUGGUAAGGUAACGGCUUACCAAGGCUACGAUGGGUAGGGGUCCUGAGAGGGAGAUCCCCCACACUGGUACUGAGACACGGACCAGACUCCUACGGGAGGCAGCAGUGAGGAAUAUUGGACAAUGGGCGCAAGCCUGAUCCAGCCAUGCCGCGUGCAGGAUGACGGUCCUAUGGAUUGUAAACUGCUUUUGUACAGGAAGAAACACUACUUCGUGAAGUAGCUUGACGGUACUGUAAGAAUAAGGAUCGGCUAACUCCGUG